GCCGGUAUGAUGGAAUUGGCAGACGUGCCAGACUCAAAAUCUGGUGGUGGCAACACCGUGUCGGUUCGACCCCGACUACCGGCACCA
Molecule: transfer RNA, 87 nt
Filed under: Clostridia bacterium
Lineage: Bacteria; Bacillati; Bacillota; Clostridia
Also listed under: 2 other names
Description: tRNA-Leu
Rfam family: tRNA
About the family: Transfer RNA (tRNA) molecules are approximately 80 nucleotides in length.
Source: RNAcentral